RNAcentral lists this ribosomal RNA (327 nucleotides) under uncultured eukaryote. RNAcentral describes it as "partial 18S ribosomal RNA". It matches the Rfam family "Eukaryotic small subunit ribosomal RNA", at positions 1470 to 1796 of the family's 1831-position model. The record is from RNAcentral.
CCCUUAGAUGUUCUGGGCCGCACGCGCGCUACACUGACGAAUGCAACGAGCUUAUAACCUUGGCCGAAAGGUCUGGGUAAUCUCCAAAUUUCGUCGUGAUGGGGAUAGAUUAUUGCAAUUAUUAAUCUUCAACGAGGAAUGCCUAGUAAGCGCAAGUCAUCAGCUUGCGUUGAUUACGUCCCUGCCCUUUGUACACACCGCCCGUCGCUCCUACCGAUUGAAUGGUCCGGUGAAGCGUUCGGACCGUGGCCUUUGGACGGUUCGCCGUCUGUUGGCCGCGGGAAGUUCGUUAAACCUUAUCAUUUAGAGGAAGGAGAAGUCGUANCA